CAUGUCAUUUGUUGUAUUUCGUUUUGUAUAUUAAAUCCUAUGAAAACAUUAUAGAGGGUUCUAUACUAUGUUGGACAAAAUUUAAUGAUGCGCAUGGUUCGAUGGAUGAAGACUUACGUCAUCAAAUUGCUUCAACCUCGUGUGAAAUUUAAUGUGAUAAAGUAGAUAUGAGCUGGGGUCUUGUGCGUAAGAGUAUGUGCGACGAGUCCAUCGUUGUAUUGAUUGUGAUAUAUGCUUCAUUAAGCAUAAUAUUAAGUGUUAAAACUUCAAUUGUGUAUAUACUUAGUGAUGCAAAUUCAAGAAUUAAGUGUCCAGGCAUGUCAUCAUUGAAGUGCUGCUGGAUAUUAUGCUUAUUUGUAUUUACGGGCAUUAACAGAAUUACUAAGACUAUUUCAUUAUUUCCUUCGUAGAAGACUGGAUAGUGUCUACAACAAUUGCACAUCAAUGCGGCCCAAAAAUUAGUCAAUUCGAGGUGGAUUUCACUCGUUCUCAAGGAGCACACCAUUCAAAAAUCAAUGUUUUUCCAGGAUGUUAGGAAUUUCUCAUCGCACAAGGAAAUAUGUGAGGAGAAUCACUAUUUUCUACCAUACAUCUAGCAUUUUUAUAUUUCGGUAGAUUCUAUAUUGUUGGGUACAACCAUGGGUACAGCUUGCAGAGGUAAAAAUCCCAAGCACCCCUCAUGCAAAGAGAAGGGUUUUGCACUCAGAUAUUCUUCAGGAAUUGCUCAUCGCACAAGGAAAUAUGUGAGGAGAAUCACUAUUUUCUGCCAUAUAUCUAGCAUUUUUCUAUUUCGGUAGAUUCUAUAUUGUUGGGUACAACCAUGGUACGGCUUGCAGAGGUAAAAAAUCCCAAGCACCCCUCAUGCAAAGAGAAGGGGAAUCUCCUUUUUAGUUGUAUUGUAUACCUUCUCUACUUAUUUAUAUUGCAAUAAUAAUAUCCCUAUAAGUAUUCGGAAUAAGAGCAAUUUUUUAUGAUUAUCUAGAAUUUUUAUUACUGAUGUUUGUUUAUUGGACCAUGUGUAUGUAUUCAGUCAUUCACAAAUAUACAUGUGAUGUCAACUCAGCCACAGCUAUUAUUCAUGUUAGCUUUUUCUGAAUGUUGUUAUUCAUGUUAGCUUUGGAACUUCAUGUUUUGCACUCAGAUAUUCUUCAAGGUAGUUCCUUGGCAUCAUUAUGUUUUGCUGAUCCAAAAUUUACUAUUCUCCAUACUUUCAUGUUUCAUGUUGUUUCCAAUAUGGAAAUCUAGAAUUUUUACAUCAUGACAUUGUGCAAAAUGAUUCACUUGCAUGACAAAUCACCUCUCAUAUUUGGCGAGUUGUUUCUGAAAUCUGGAAUCAUUAAGCGUCCUUUUAGUCUUGUCCAUAUAAAUUGCCAAAUGAUGCCAGCUCUGUUCGAGUGGUUUAAAUUCUGAAGACUGAACUUUGUUUGCACCAUGUGUACAAAUCUCGAUUUCACUAAAAUGGGCUCCAUGUGAAUCUAAAUAAAAUGCUAAACUAAAACAAUAGGCUAAUUGAACUUGUGAUUUUGGAAAUCUUUUGGCCGAAGAAGCUUAUGAAACAGCGUACUGUAAACUGGUUGGUUAUUGAGAGGCCCUUUAUAUGUUUCUGUCCCAGGAGCAUGAUAGAGGUGAUUAUGUGGUAUUUGUGUUGUUGUUUACACUAACUAGAUGCAAGUGAUGUGUGUUAGUCUGCUUUUCAGUUUCUUCCCCACCUUUAUGUUGAAGGUAUUGUUGAUUAGUUGGCGAGGUUCAUGGAUAAGCUGUACUUCUGUCACAUUUGCGGUCUAUCAGUAUGUGCCUUUUCCA
This is a non-coding RNA of Aegilops tauschii subsp. strangulata, 1803 nucleotides long. NCBI's taxonomy places the organism in Eukaryota, Viridiplantae, Streptophyta, Magnoliopsida, Poales, Poaceae. The record is from RefSeq and is a predicted model, not a curated record.